Ailuropoda melanoleuca (giant panda) is the source of this 337-nucleotide long non-coding RNA. RefSeq lists it as uncharacterized. Lineage: Eukaryota; Metazoa; Chordata; Mammalia; Carnivora; Ursidae. The record is from RefSeq and is a predicted model, not a curated record. The transcript has 3 exons.
AGUCCGGAGGCUGCAGGCUGAGGAGAGCUCACCCUGCAAACACUUCCCCUCGCUGGGGAGGUCGUUUCAGGGCUCCCCGACGCCUCUGGCCAUUUGGCCGGAAGGACCGAAAGAAUGCUGAAGAUGACACCGAGAUGGAGCUGGUGGACAUGCCUUCCUCUCCAGGAGCAGGGACAGGGCAUCACCUGGGAAGGCUUCCAACUCCACCCAGGCCACUGUCCCCAGUAACCAUUCACUCAGUGAGUGUGAUCCAGGAGCUGAAGACCACAGAUGCUGAACCCAAGGCUGCUCCACCAUCUGAGGAACUAGAGCCGGCUCCAAGGACUUCAGAGGCUCU